RNAcentral lists this small RNA (2068 nucleotides) under Pan troglodytes (chimpanzee). RNAcentral describes it as "retained intron". The record is from RNAcentral. Lineage: Eukaryota; Metazoa; Chordata; Mammalia; Primates; Hominidae.
CGGAAGCCCCUGCCUAGCGUCUCCCCAUGGCCCUUGGUACAUCCUCCCCUUCUCCACCCGCACCUCCGUCUUCCCCGCAACACAUAUACACAAACACCCGGACCCUAGGUUCCCCAGAGCCCGAAGGCCACUCAGGGGGCGUCCAGCGACCUGCACUACUGGGUCGGGAAGCAGGCGGGUGCGGAAGCGCAGGGCGCUGCGGAGGCCUUCCAGCAGCGCCUACAUGACGAGCUGGGGGGCCAGACCGUGCUGCACCGCGAGGCGCAGGGCCACGAGUCCGACUGCUUCUGCAGCUACUUCCGCCCGGGAAUCAUCUACAGGAAGGGAGGCCUAGCAUCUGACCUCAAGCAUGUGGAGACCAACUUGUUCAACAUCCAGCGACUGCUGCACAUCAAAGGGAGGAAGCACGUGUCUGCCACUGAGGUGGAGCUCUCCUGGAACAGCUUUAAUAAGGGUGACAUCUUCCUGCUGGACCUAGGCAAGAUGAUGAUUCAGUGGAAUGGGCCCAAGACCAACAUUUCUGAGAAGGCUCGGGGGCUGGCCUUGACCUACAGCCUCCGGGACAGGGAACGUGGUGGUCGUGCACAGAUUGGUGUGGUGGAUGAUGAGGCCAAAGCCCCGGACCUCAUGCAGAUCAUGGAGGCUGUGCUGGGCUGCAGGGUGGGCAGCCUGCGUGCCGCCACGCCCAGCAAGGAUAUCAACCAGCUGCAGAAGGCCAAUGUUCGCCUGUACCAUGUCUAUGAGAAGGGCAAAGACCUGGUGGUCCUGGAGUUGGCGACCCCCCCACUGACCCAGGACCUGCUGCAGGAGGAGGACUUCUACAUCCUGGACCAGGGUGGCUUCAAGAUCUAUGUGUGGCAGGGACGCAUGUCUAGCCUCCAGGAGAGAAAGGCUGCCUUCAGCCGGGCUGUGGGCUUCAUCCAGGCCAAGGGCUACCCGACCUACACCAAUGUGGAGGUGGUGAACGACGGCGCCGAGUCGGCCGCGUUCAAGCAGCUCUUCCGGACUUGGUCUGAGAAGCGGAGCAGGAACCAGAAGCUCGGCGGGAGGGAUAAAUCGAUUCAUGUAAAGCUGGACGUGGGCAAGCUGCACACCCAGCCUAAGUUAGCGGCCCAGCUCAGGAUGGUGGACGACGGCUCUGGGAAGGUGGAGGUGUGGUGCAUCCAGGACUUACACAGGCAGCCUGUGGACCCCAAGCGUCAUGGACAGCUGUGUGCAGGCAACUGCUACCUUGUGCUCUAUACAUACCAGAGGCUGGGCCGUGUCCAGUACAUCCUGUACCUGUGGCAGGGCCACCAGGCCACUGCGGAUGAGAUUGAGGCCCUGAACAGCAACGCUGAGGAACUAGAUGUCAUGUAUGGUGGCGUCCUAGUACAGGAGCAUGUGACCAUGGGCAGCGAGCCCCCCCACUUCCUCGCCAUCUUCCAGGGCCAGCUGGUGAUCUUCCAGGUAGGUCUCACCUUGCCACUCUGGCCACAGCCUGCCCAGUUCUGCAUGGGCCAUGGCCCCCGCACACACUUCUAAGCACCUUCUCUUUGGGCCUGGGGCCUGCUUAUCAUCCUCUAGUUUCCCAGAGCUUGUCCAAGGCCCAGGAGCUCCAAGGUUGGCCCCUGCCUGAGUUUCCCUCCCCAGUCCCAGAGCCAGAUGAGGAAUUUGAGUUGAAAGGGAGCCAGGGGCUUGCCUGGGGCUGCACACUAGCAAACCUGGUCCCCACUUUCCACCUCCAAGGCCUGAGCACCCAUGCCCCGACCACUCAGAGAUGGGGGGAAAGGUCCAUUUAAAAAGGGUCUGUCCCUGUCCCAGACUGAUGGGAUUCCUGCACUCCACACUUAGAGGGUCCUGUACUCCUCAUGUGAAAUCACCAGUGAGGGCCUUGAUGGCUUCAAGCAAGGGUCCCUGAGCUCUGAGGCAAUAUGUCCCACACUGGGACAGGAAGGCGCCCCUGGGAGCCCUUGCCCAGCCUGAGGCCUUGCUCUCCUAUAGGAGAGAGCUGGGCACCAUGGAAAGGGGCAGUCAGCAUCCACCACAAGGCUUUUCCAAGUGCAAGGCACUGACAGCCACAACACCA